GGGGGUGUCGUUCAACGGUAGGACUCUGGUCUCCAAAACCAGGUAUCCAGGUUCAAAUCCUGGCGCCCCCGCAA
This 74-nucleotide transfer RNA is filed under the name Candidatus Yanofskybacteria bacterium RIFCSPLOWO2_01_FULL_49_17. RNAcentral describes it as "tRNA-Trp". It matches the Rfam family "tRNA". Rfam says of the family: Transfer RNA (tRNA) molecules are approximately 80 nucleotides in length. Their secondary structure includes four short double-helical elements and three loops (D, anti-codon, and T loops). The record is from RNAcentral. Lineage: Bacteria; Candidatus Yanofskyibacteriota.